UACGAGGGGGGCAAAUGUUGUUCGGAAUCACUGGGCGUAAAGGGAGCGUAGGCGGGUUUUUAAGUAAGGUGUUUAAUCCCGGGGCCCAACCCCGGACCGGCACUUUAAACUGGGAAUCUUGAAUAGUGGAGAGGUCGGUGGAAUUGGGGGUGUAGCGGUGGAAUGCGUAGAGAUCCCCAAGAACACCAGUUGCGAAGGCGGCCGACUGGACACAUAUUGACGCUGAGGCUCGAAAGCAUGGGGAGCAAACAGG
Molecule: ribosomal RNA, 253 nt
Filed under: uncultured bacterium
Lineage: Bacteria
Description: partial 16S ribosomal RNA
Rfam family: Bacterial small subunit ribosomal RNA
Source: RNAcentral